RNAcentral lists this ribosomal RNA (454 nucleotides) under uncultured bacterium. RNAcentral's name for it is "partial 16S ribosomal RNA". It matches the Rfam family "Bacterial small subunit ribosomal RNA", at positions 28 to 507 of the family's 1533-position model. The record is from RNAcentral.
GAUGAACGCUGACAGAAUGCUUAACACAUGCAAGUCAACUUGAACUUCGGUUUGGGUGGCGGACGGGUGAGUAACGCGUAAAGAACUUGCCUCACAGCUAGGGACAACAUUUGGAAACGAAUGCUAAUACCUGAUAUUAUGAUUAUAUGGCAUCGUAUAAUUAUGAAAGCUAUAUGCGCUGUGAGAGAGCUUUGCGUCCCAUUAGCUAGUUGGAGAGGUAACAGCUCACCAAGGCGAUGAUGGGUAGCCGGCCUGAGAGGGUGAUCGGCCACAAGGGGACUGAGACACGGCCCUUACUCCUACGGGAGGCAGCAGUGGGAAAUAUUGGACAAUGGACCGAGAGUCUGAUCCAGCAAUUCUGUGUGCACGAUGAAGUUUUUCGGAAUGUAAAGUGCUUUCAGUUGGGAAGAAAAAAAUGACGGUACCAACAGAAGAAGUGACGGCUAAAUACGUG